Molecule: ribosomal RNA, 253 nt
Filed under: uncultured bacterium
Lineage: Bacteria
Description: partial 16S ribosomal RNA
Rfam family: Bacterial small subunit ribosomal RNA
Source: RNAcentral
UACAGAGGUCCCAAGCGUUGUUCGGAUUCACUGGGCGUAAAGCGUGCGCAGGCGGUUUUGUAAGCCAGAUGUGAAAUCCCCGGGCUCAACCUGGGAAUGGCAUUUGGGACUGCAAGGCUGGAGUUUGGCAGAGGAGACUGGAAUUCCUGGUGUAGCAGUGAAAUGCGUAGAUAUCAGGAGGAAUACCGAUGGCGAAGGCAGGUCUCUGGGCUAUAACUGACGCUCAUGCACGAAAGCGUGGGGAGCAAACAGG